UAACUUGUAACUAAUUCAACUUUUGGGG
RNAcentral lists this non-coding RNA (28 nucleotides) under Rattus norvegicus (Norway rat). The record is from RNAcentral. Lineage: Eukaryota; Metazoa; Chordata; Mammalia; Rodentia; Muridae.